GCUUUUGUUCUGCUCUGACAGAUAAUGAUGACAGAAUUGCACUCAAGCAGAUGGCUCGAUUCUGAAUAUAUCAAAGGAACAAUUUUCCUGAUAAAAAGACCUGAGAGGAAUUAAUCCCAUCUUAGGUCAUCAAGAAAAGAGCACUGGAUGGAUGGCCCAACCUCAUGACGAAGCGUUAAAAAUCAGCUGAGAAUUAGGCAGAGACAUCUAAUGCGGUAAUAGUUUUCACAAUAAGCAAAUUCUGGCAUUACAACAGGAAAUUCAGUUUUCCAAUGACAAAGAGCUGCAGACCAUUAAGAUAUGAGAGACAACUUCCGAAGAAGCUACUCCAAAGUUGGAUAACUUGACUGGAUUCCCCAGGCCAAAGGGGCAUUUCCAGUGAUCUUCAGUAGAAUGAUCCUAAUCAUGAUGAAGGAAUCGGCAUCGUUAACUUAUGUUGAUGAUGAUAUCAGGAUAGACUUGGUGCUAUUGAUGAAGGCAAUGAAAGAGAAGGCUGGAAGGGGCACCACUACCACAUCUGACUAGCAUACAAGAAUCUCAUCUGUAUUACUGCCAAGUUCCCAUAUGAGUUUCUCUUUCAGAGAAGUGCUAAUAUAUUAAAUUUUUACACUGGUUUCCCAUUAACUUCAUCAAUAAGAGAAAGCCAAUCUUUAACGAUGAUUUCAUUGCAUGACCUAGUCCUGUUUUUUCACCAAUGAUUGUCACUUAUUGGAGGCUCUGUAUAAUAAGACUAAGCUCAACAUGCUGUUUGACUGACAAGUUAUAUAGAAGAGGAGUUUGAUCCCUGACACUCAAAGGAACAAGAGCAUGGAAAGACUGCGGUUUGUAAUCACCAAAACUCGUGCUUAAGGCUCAGCUCUUUCACCACUCAUUGGCCUGGAGAGCCACUCCGGAGCUCGGUUUACUCACUUGUGAGAUCUGGAAAUUAUACCCAUCUUUCAGGCUGGUUGUGAUGAUUAAGUGAAACCACCACUGUAAUGUGUUCUGUUCUAUGCCUGGCACAUCAUGAUUCACUCUAAAUGUCACCCUCCUCCUUUUCUCUAGAGGGUUUACUUUCCAUGAAUUUAAGGAAGAAAAUAGAUGCAGAAAAAUGGAAAACAAAACACUGAAACAUCUUAAUUUUAAUUAUUAAAGCUAUAAAAUAAUUUAUAUAUAGAUAGAAAACAAGAAAAUCAAAACACGAGGAUUAUGCCAAUGUAUCAGAACAAUGAUUUUCAGAAAGACUGAAGUUCUUUGUAAAAGCAUUGAAAUUAUACCUUAUAUUUGAAAACCCAAUAAGAAAUCAGAUUAUUGCUUUAAAGUACAAGUUCAUAAUAUUCUUCAUAAGAAUUGAAUAAGUGUGUGUGUGUGUGUGUGUGCGUGUGUGUGUGUGUCCAUGCACGCAUGCGGUUUGGUUCAGAGAUUCAAGAUGGCAGUCAACUUCUGAGCCAAGUGUCAGGCCAUAUUUAAAUGGAACUACUGUCCAAUACUGUGUUGAACCAAACAGAUUUCAUGAUGGUUGCUCUAGUACAAACCUCUAAUUUAUUCCUUUUUUCUUCUUUUUUUUAAAUUAAUUUUAAGGACUGCUUCUUUGGUGUAUGGUUGAUGUCCUCUUGACAAACAGAAUGUGGGGAAUAUUGGCCUGAUAUUCUGCUCUGAUGUUAUUUUGGGAACACAAAUAGACACCACCCUCAACUUAGUGCCUAAUAACUCUCCAGUAGCAUAAGUAUUUUCCAAAGAGUGAUUAUGUAUGUACAUAUGUGUAUACCUAUAUACAAGCCACACUAAUAAAAAACCCAAUAUGCAUAUAAAGUAAUAAUACACAUAUAUCUAUGUCAUAGGUUCAGACAUAGAUCUCCAUAUGUUAUUAUUAUUUUUUAUUAGUGCCACUUGACAUGUAAGGAAGCUGGAAAUCUCAGAACAUCAGUGUAUUGGCAAAGAUCACACAACCGAACUAACUCAUGAUAUUUUCAUACACUGUUCUGCUUUGGAUCUCUUUGAAAGAUGAUAACCUGCUGGCUGCCAUUCAGUUUCAGCUCAGUUUAUUCUAUGACAGUUGUCUGUAACAGGCAUGGUUUAAUAAAUCAUAGAUUUAUUCACAUGUAGUUGUAAUAGCUUAAAAAAUAAUGCAACGUUUCCAAUUUGAUUAGCACCAAUGAGAUUACAGCCUGUGAAUAAAGUAAAUAUACUUACAUUUCCUUAUGCAUCAAUUGUCUAUCUUAACUUUAAGAAGCAGACAUAACCAAAGUCCCUGUACCUAUAGGUAGAACUGUACUAAAUUCCUAACCCAUUUGGAACUAAACCUGGCUAUAUAGCAUCAUUUUAAUGCAAACGUCAAUCACAAGGUAAUGUAACACCACCCCUUGUGUUGAGUUCCUACUGUGUGAGACAAGUAUUAGAAACUUACAUCAAUCACCUUUAACUCACAGUAAAUAACUGUAAGGGAGGAAAUGCAGUCUCUCUGUAAAUUCCAGAUGAAAAUAUUUAGGGGCCCACAGAGAUUAACAUUCUUACCAAAGGAUGAGAAGUUAGUGGAGAAACAAGAUUUAAAUGCAGAUACCUUGACUUCAAAUCAAAUGUAUUCCAUUUCCUUUACUGUAUUCUUCUACAUGUUUUAGUAAGCCAAAUAAGGCCCAUAUUGAUUGUCACAGUCCUAUAGUUCCAAAUCUGUAUUCUCUCUCUCUCUUUUUUUUUUUUUUUUCAGUUGUUUUUUUACCUGGUCAUCAUCUGAGUUGCUUGAGAAGGUUAGCAUUUUUCUCUAUUUUACUGUUCCUUAGUAACAGACACAACUAAUAAUACACAAAUAAUCUUGCAAUGCUAGGGGGAAUUACUGUUUAUAAGAAGCACAUAAUCUCCUCUAAAAACUGAAUAUUAAUAAAUGAAAAUAACCAUGACUCAAUUUAGGUCAGAUUUGUUUAUAUCCUGUUUAUAUGCUUCCUACAAAAAGAACAUGACUAUAGUCUAUUUUUCAUUCCUAAAAGAAAUCUUAAAUCUUGCAAAUGUUCAAAUGUUAAGAUCUAUUAAAAAAUUGUUAUGUCUGACAAAAUCUUAUAGUUAAAUGUAAGUUGCAUUUGGUGUUAUUUAAUUAUCAUUCAGGUGACCAGGAAAUUCUACGGAGAUGAGAGGAAUAUAUAAAAUGAAAAUUAGAGACAGCUUUUAAUAUUGAUUCCAAGUUAAAUCUUAGUAAAGGAUAAUUUGGCUUUUUUGAUACUAGAAGCAACAGUUUAGUUCAAUCUCUAUCCAAAUAGAAAUUUAAUAGUGCUUAUUUCAUGCUCAUAUGGUCAGAUUUUUGGUCUAAUUUGUUUGUAAUGAGUUAGAGUAACUGAUAUGCUAAUCAAUGUUAGUUAAUUAAAAGUGGAGUUUCCAUUUAGUUACAAAACACAUUAGGGUGCUGAGCAUAUUGCAUGCUAGAUGACCUGAUUCACACAUUUGAACUUCUAAAAUGAGAAGGAGUGGUAGAAAAUCUUUUUGAUGUGUUGCCAGAAGUGCCACUCAGAUCCUUCUGGAAACAGAUUUAGCCUGAGGAUGAGAAGACUUGAAUUCUAAUCCUUGCUCCACUGCCUUUUUACCCUGAAGCUUGAGUAUCAUCUCUUAAAUUCUCAAAAACUCAUAUUUCCAAGACCAAAAAAUGGAAUAGGAUUAGAUAAUGUCUAUGCACACUUUCUUGUGAUUCCUUGUUCAAAAUUCAAAAGUAAAUGAGGGUGUUAACUCUCUGCUCAGCCAUUUUCUAGCUCUGUAAUUUUAGGCAAAAUCCUCAAUCUUUUUGAUCUUUGUAAUUGAGAUGAAAUGAGGAAAAGCAUGGUACUCACACUGCAUUCAUGCUCAAAUAAAGUUUACUGUGGUGAUUAAAAAAAAGAUAGAGUGUAUGGACUUUACAAAUACUAUAAAAUUAUAUCAAACUUCUAAAAAUAUAAGUAGAUUUUAAAAAAAGAAAAAAUCUAUAAGUAUAGGCACUGAAACAUACUCUAGUGAAGCUUUCAGCAAACCCUUAUUUACAGAGUUCCAUUAGUAGGUGUUAAUUAAACAUGUAUUUCAUGUUUGACUAAGUUUUGGGAAAAGAUCAGUUAAAACUAUCAACAGAAAUUAGAGACUCUUAGAGCUUUCAGAAUAUUAGCAUGUACAGUGAAUCUUCAAGACUAUCCCCAGAUAUUUAUUUUUGCUUCUUUGUUUUUUAACCUUAUUGCAGGUAGGGAAUGGAGGUUUGGAAAUUGUACAGAACUAGUGUUCUAUGGAAUAAGCUUUAGGAAGCAAUGAAGUGAAGAAAAUAACUGAAGAUUUGUAUCAUAGACACCUGGGUGGAAUCUCACUCCUACCACUUAACUAUGUCACUUAAAUUAACCUUGUGUGACUGGGAGUGGUGAAGAUAAUUCCUAUUUUGAAGAUUAUCCACCUUGGUUUGAAAGUGAGGAACAAUAUAUGUAAAGCUAUCAGCUUGGGAUAAAGACUCAAUAAAUUGAUGAUGAUGAUAGGAUUGAUUCCAGGCACCCUAGCAAAGCAUCACCUUCCUCCUGUGGAACCACAAAACCGAGGAAUCUGUGCAUCUUCUCCUGUUCACUAUUUGAAAUCCAUUUGUUGUAAAACAUCAAAGAGUGAUUCCCAUAUGUGGAACAUUGUGGAAGAAAUCUGUUGUUGAUUGCUUCCUCCUUGAAACAGAAUUACGAGAAAACAGGAUGGAAAGCUAAGGGGAGCUUGAUGCCCCAGAAGAAGGAAUCUGAAAUAAGAUUGAGGGGGUGGGCAGGAUACACUUCCUGAGGUUAAUGCUAUUAGAAGUUAACUAAUUUUUUCUGGAGGAUGGAUAUCAUUUGCAGUAAAGCAUCUACCAACUGUUAUAAAAUAUCAGGAUAUCUCGACCUGUCAUUGAAACAAACCAAUAAGAACAGGCCAUUUCCUGCAGGGGGCAUGAUUAAAACCAG
Molecule: long non-coding RNA, 4892 nt
Filed under: Homo sapiens (human)
Lineage: Eukaryota; Metazoa; Chordata; Mammalia; Primates; Hominidae
Description: HSALNT0386547
Source: RNAcentral